GUCUGGAGCCCUUCGACCCUGGCUUGAUCUUGGAAGCUAAGCAGGGUAGGGACUGGCUAGAACUUGGAUGGGAGACUGCCUGGGAAAACCAGGUGCUCAAAAAC
This 104-nucleotide ribosomal RNA is filed under the name Piliocolobus tephrosceles (Ugandan red Colobus). The record is from RNAcentral. Lineage: Eukaryota; Metazoa; Chordata; Mammalia; Primates; Cercopithecidae.